GGCUCAGAUUGAACGCUGGCGGAAUGCUUUACACAUGCAAGUCGAACGGGUAGAGGGGGGCAACCCCUUGAGAGUGGCGAACGGGUGAGUAAUAUAUCGGAACGUGCCCAGUCGUGGGGGAUAACGUAGCGAAAGCUACGCUAAUACCGCAUACGAUCUAUGGAUGAAAGCGGGGGAUCGCAAGACCUCGCGCGAUUGGAGCGGCCGAUAUCAGAUUAGGUAGUUGGUGAGGUAAAGGCUCACCAAGCCGACGAUCUGUAGCUGGUCUGAGAGGACGACCAGCCACACUGGGACUGAGACACGGCCCAGACUCCUACGGGAGGCAGCAGUGGGGAAUUUUGGACAAUGGGCGCAAGCCUGAUCCAGCAAUGCCGCGUGCAGGAUGAAGGCCUUCGGGUUGUAAACUGCUUUGUACGGAACGAAACGGUGAGCUCUAAUACAGUUUGCUAAUGACGGUACCGUAAGAAUAAGCACCGGCUAACUACGUG
RNAcentral lists this ribosomal RNA (488 nucleotides) under uncultured bacterium. RNAcentral's name for it is "bacterial SSU rRNA". It matches the Rfam family "Bacterial small subunit ribosomal RNA", at positions 21 to 507 of the family's 1533-position model. The record is from RNAcentral.